RNAcentral lists this small nuclear RNA (190 nucleotides) under Xenopus tropicalis (tropical clawed frog). RNAcentral describes it as "U2 spliceosomal RNA (ENSXETG00000039918.2)". It matches the Rfam family "U2 spliceosomal RNA". Rfam says of the family: U2 is a small nuclear RNA (snRNA) component of the spliceosome (involved in pre-mRNA splicing). Complementary binding between U2 snRNA (in an area lying towards the 5' end but 3' to hairpin I) and the branchpoint sequence (BPS) of the intron results the bulging out of an unpaired adenosine, on the BPS, which initiates a nucleophilic attack at the intronic 5' splice site, thus starting the first of two transesterification reactions that mediate splicing. The record is from Rfam by way of RNAcentral. Lineage: Eukaryota; Metazoa; Chordata; Amphibia; Anura; Pipidae.
AUCGCUUCUCGGCCUUUGGCUAAGAUCAAGUGUAGUAUCUGUUCUUAUCAGUUUAAUAUCUGAUACGUCCCCUAUCUGGGGACCAUAUAUUAAAUGGAUUUUUGGAACAGGGAGAUGGAAGAAGAGCUUGCUCUGUCCACUCCACGCAUCGACCUGGUAUUGCAGUACCUCCAGGACCGGUGCACCUCUC